RNAcentral lists this long non-coding RNA (1749 nucleotides) under Homo sapiens (human). RNAcentral's name for it is "non-protein coding lnc-CCNF-4:3". Lineage: Eukaryota; Metazoa; Chordata; Mammalia; Primates; Hominidae. The record is from RNAcentral.
GUCAGCCACCCUGCGAGUACGCGGUUCGCACCCGGCCGCGCGGCAGCCCGUGCUUGCGCACUGCUCUGUGCCCGCGCCUAUGUCCAGCAGGGGGCGCGCAGCGGCGGUAGCCGAGCGAGGGCGCGGUGGCCUCUGACAGGAAUGACUCUGCGCACGUGCGUUUCGCAGCAGUGGAAGUCUUCACACCCGGAAACUCGACUUUGGCCGUUUCUCCAUUUCUCCUCACGCACUGUCUUUCCUUGGGCCCUCGUCACUCCUGGCACCGGGGGAAGGGCUUCCCCGCCUCUGGCCGGGCGCUGGGGCGCGACCGAAGGCGAGGCGGCGGCGAGGAACCUUCUGGAAUUCGGCCGUCGGGGCAGGCGUCGAGUUUACAGGAGAAGGCGCGGUGUCCCGGGAUGAGCGGAGUCGCCCUCACUUAAGGAGCGAGGGAGGCCUCGGGGGUCCCCAGCCGGUGAUGAGCCCUCCUCUUCAGCUAGGAAAAUGACGGUGUUCAGAAAGUUAAAACUUCUUCGCUGGAAGGAUUUCAUCUUAAAGUUGGGAGACUGGAAGAAAUUAAAGUGUUCUAAAUGGAAGAGCAUUCACCACAUGUGUUCUGUUUUGGGUUGACAUUUAGCUUUUGUUUUUAUUUUAGAAACGGAAGACUCUGGUAGCAGUCCUUGAAAUCUUGAUGCCAUUGCUAUUUUCUGCAUUGUAUUGUAUCUUCGUUUUAGUAGUGCUCCAAUAAAAAGACCUGCUACUAGCUGCCAUGCAAUUGAUAUCAGUUUGUUGCCAGACUUCUACAAUUUUCCUGAAAAAUAGAUUUCAACUAGUUUAUAUCCCUUCUAUAAGUGAAACAUUGAAGGCUGUCACCGAAAUGGUGGAACAGAUCUUUGAUGUUGAGUUUGAAGGUUAGAUGUAAAUAUGGGUAAGGAUCGGGAGGACAUUUUUAUAAAGUACAGUUUGAAGUUUUUCCCCGAGAGUUCUUACAGUAGUGAUUCUAAAUCUAGUGUCUCCAAAUUCUAAAGAGCCUAUGAGGUGGUAGUUGGGGGGAAGCUGUCCAUGAGAUAUUUUUAUUAUUUCAAACAACAUAUGGAGUCUUGUCUAUAUAUGUCAGAAGGCUUCAAGGCUAAUUAAAAUGUUAAAUGUUAAGUAUUUGUUUUUAACUCACUAUCAUGACACCUAUUAUCUCAUAUUAAUCCAAAGGUCUGAUUGGCAAUUAUAUGUCUCUAAUAAAAAAUGGAAGGCAUUCAGAGAGUCAGAGGGUCUGAAAUAGCUUCUAACUUGUUAACUGGUCUCUGCUUCUCCUCUUGUCCCAUUCUAAUCCAGUCUCCGUGUGGAGGCAGAAAGAUCUUCAAAAGCUCAAUAGGAUCCAGCUAGUCUCUAGCUUAAACCCCUUCAGUGGCUUCCCAUUGCCCUGAAAGAAAACCAGCUCUUCUCCAGGUUCUGACCCUGCUUUUUUCCCAGUCUUAUCUAGUUUGGCUCUUUAUUGUGCUCCCACACACUGGUCAUGUUGGUCUUUUACUUCCUAGAAAGCAGCUACAUGAGGUUUUCUCCCAAUAGGGCCUUUGCAGCAGGUGUUCCUUCUGACAGUGCUUUGCCCUCAGCCUUCCCUGUGCAUUGCUCCCUCUUAGUCUUCACGUUUCAGCUGAACUGAUGCCUAGGAAAGCAGCUAAAUCGGUUUUAGGUUUCUCACCUCUGCCUUAUUCUCUGUCACAGAACCCUGUUUUAUACUUUCUAUCAAAAAGGGAAUUUUAAUAAAUGUUUACAUAU